GGGGCGAGAGCCAGAGACGCAGCCGCAGGCAGAAUCCGCGGCUGCAGGCGGACUGCCGAUGUCGCUAGGCAAAGGCCCACAGGCCCUCCUCCCUCUGUCGCUCGCUCAAUCCGCUGGCGCUCCCGCAUACGGCCUGCUCGUCGCCCUCUCUCGCUCCCGCGCGCUCAAGCCAUUGGCGGCCACCACAUCCGCGGCACCGCGUCAAAGUAGACGUCCCUCUUCCUUUUACCUCUCUCCUUCGUAGCUGCAGAUCGCGUCACCGGCUCCGGAUCCACUGCCGACACGUCCCGGCGAUGCAGAGCUGUGAGCGAGUGGGGAUGGAGGCAAUGGAGCUUGGGCGAGUGGGGAUGGAGGCGAUGGAGCGUGGGCGCGUGAGCAGCAAUGGUUCUUAGCCGCCGACGCAAACCCUAGCCGCCAUAGGUGCUGCUGGACUGUGGGAGUGACGGACGAAAUGAGAGGCCGAGAGCCACCACGAGAAUGGAACGAGAAACAUGAGUGGGGACUAGUUUUUUUACUUCCCCGUGGAUUGACAGGGUUAGGAAUAAAAAGGCCCGUGGCAUUUUGGCCUGUGUCUCAUCCAAACAGUAGCCCGAGAUGUGUGGGAAAGAGAAGACGCGGUCUUAUUUCUCACGCGGAUUGGGCUGGGAUCCCUCCAGAGAUUGGGUCAUCCAAAGGAGCCCUUAAUUUUAUUCCACUCGCUUUCGCGCGCCCUCCUCAUGAUCCCAUCCUUUUUCUUCCCCUAGCUUUAGUGUUUCUCCACCUCCUCUCUCCGGGUGGCAGACCCUUCUCUCCGCCCUCUUCGUCUUCCAGUUAGUCGCAUGUAGAGAGGCAGUGCGAGUGUGGCAUGCGAGGAACAAACAAAACCAGGAAAAGAAGCUCUCACUCACUCACAAGUAGCAAAAGAUCAAAGGGAAAUCAAUUCUAUACCAUGGUAUUUUCUUCGGUUCCUGUCUACCUUGAUUCACCCAAUUGGAACCAGCACCAGCACCAGCACCAGCCGCAACAGCAGCAACAACAAGCUCACCAUGGCCACCUUAAGUGGCACCGGAGGAGGUGGAGGCGGCAACGUCGACGCGCAUGCGCACCAUCAUCAGCUGCCGUCGAUGCCACCUCCUGCUCGUGUUGGGGCUCUCAUGGCUCCUCGUCCUAACAUGGCGGCUGUGGUCGCCGCGAGCGGCGGCAGCACGAGCGACGGUAGUGGGCCAACUGGCGGUGGUUCCGUUAUCCGGUCGGGCUCCAUGACCGAGCGGGCUAGGCUCGCCAAGAUCCCGCAGCCGGAGCCGGGGCUCAAGUGCCCGCGUUGCGAGUCCACCAACACCAAGUUUUGUUACUUUAACAACUACUCGCUCUCCCAGCCGCGCCACUUCUGCAAGACGUGUCGUCGCUACUGGACUCGUGGCGGCGCGCUUCGGAACAUCCCUGUCGGUGGCGGGUGUCGCCGCAACAAGCGCACCAAGUCGUCCAACUCGUCGUCGGCCACCUCCGCUUCAAGAGCGAGCGGGACAUCGUCGUCCACCUCGUCCACCGCGACCGGCGGCAACAGCGCCGCCAGCAUCAAGCUGCCUCACCAGGGGCACGGAGGGCAGCUGCCUUUCCUAGCCUCGUUGCACCACCCUUUCACCGACGGGGAUCAUCACUACAACACGGGCGCGUCACGGUUAGGGUUCCCCGGGCUGAGCUCGCUGGACCCCAUGGACUAGCACCAGUUCGGCGCUGUCGCCGCCGGGCUGGAUCAGUGGCGCCUGCCGCAGAGACACCAGUUCCCGUUCCUAAGCGGUCGCCCCGACACCGUGCAACCGCCAAUGUCUGGCAUUUACCCGUUCAACGUGGAAGGCCAUGGUGGGGAAGGUUCCGGCUUCGCCGACCACAUGUUUGGCGACUCCAAGGUGCCCAGCUCAGCAAGGCUGAUCACGCAGCUUACGUUAGUGAAGAUGGAGGACAACCCAACGUCCGCGGUGAUGGCAAGCAGCUCACCAAGGGAGUUCCUUGGUCUCCCUGGAAACCCCCAAUUCUGGGACGGUGGCGGCAGCAACGGUGGUGCAAGUGGCAACAAUGGAGCAGGCACUGGCAACGCCGGUAGUGCUGGUGGCGACGCUAUUCCUCCGGGUGGCAGCUGGAUGGACCUGUCAGGAUUCAACUCAUCUUUGUCCGAAAACGUGUGGUGAUGCCCUCUGAAUAUGUUCUGCAUGCUAAGCUGGUCGCUGCACACAAAAGGUAACCCUAUCUAUUUAUGCAAAUCCCUCAAGCUUCAUUUUAGUGAUGGCUUCUGAGAAAGUUCAACAGGAAAGGAGUUGUAGUGCAAGAUUAUAGGGGGGCUAAAUAUGAUCCAUGCCGGCACUACCGGAAUCGCUGGUGGACGCAUCUCCAGGUUGGAGCGUAAUAACCUUAAGUUUUGAGCAUAAAAUCCCUCAAUUAUAAGCGUA
Zea mays is the source of this 2423-nucleotide RNA transcript. It is a transcript of the gene named dof zinc finger protein pseudogene, with no coding region annotated. NCBI's taxonomy places the organism in Eukaryota, Viridiplantae, Streptophyta, Magnoliopsida, Poales, Poaceae. The transcript has 2 exons. The record is from RefSeq and is marked validated.